GAUGAACGCUGACAGAAUGCUUAACACAUGCAAGUCGACUGGAAUUCUUCUUCGGAAGAUAGUACGGUGGCGGACGGGUGAGUAACGCGUAAAGAAUUUGCCCUUCAGACCGGGACAACUAACCGAAAGGUUAGCUAAUACCGGAUAUUAUGAGACCUUGGCAUCAAGAACUUAUGAAAGCUAUAUGCGCUGAAGGAGAACUUUGCGUCCCAUUAGGUAGUUGGUAGGGGUAAUGGCCUACCAAGCCGACGAUGGGUAGCCGGCCUGAGAGGGUGAACGGCCACAAGGGGACUGAGACACGGCCCUUACUCCUACGGGAGGCAGCAGUGGGGAAUAUUGGACAAUGGACCAAAAGUCUGAUCCAGCAAUUCUGUGUGCACGAUGAAGGUCUUCGGAUUGUAAAGUGCUUUCAGGUGGGAAGAAGAAAGUGACGGUACCACCAGAAGAAGCGACGGCUAAAUACGUG
Molecule: ribosomal RNA, 466 nt
Filed under: uncultured bacterium
Lineage: Bacteria
Description: bacterial SSU rRNA
Rfam family: Bacterial small subunit ribosomal RNA
Source: RNAcentral